RNAcentral lists this long non-coding RNA (321 nucleotides) under Mytilus galloprovincialis (Mediterranean mussel). The record is from RNAcentral. Lineage: Eukaryota; Metazoa; Mollusca; Bivalvia; Mytilida; Mytilidae.
AACAAAGAACUUAGUCAUUUAGUAAAAGAAAGAGACAAUGCGACUUUCUGGCAUCAUAGGGGGUUGUGGAAGAACACCCCAGAUUUAUUAUUAAAAGACAAAGUUCAUCUUAAUGAUGAAGGUAUGGAAAUAUACGCUAGAAGUGUCCGUGCUGCUGUUGGUAGCCUUUCACGAACAUGUAAUGUCGAGCAAACAUGCGUUGCAAAUUACCGUUUAUGAUUGUUAUAAACUUAUUGUCCCUAUUUGGACAUAUGAAGAAAAGAAGCAUACACUACAAUUAUGUAGUUAUCUAUGAAUUAUUUGCAUAUUAUUACUCCAUCA